This 30-nucleotide non-coding RNA is filed under the name Mus musculus (house mouse). The record is from RNAcentral. Lineage: Eukaryota; Metazoa; Chordata; Mammalia; Rodentia; Muridae.
UCCCACGUGAUAUCAGUCUUCCUGGAAGUG